RNAcentral lists this ribosomal RNA (254 nucleotides) under uncultured bacterium. RNAcentral's name for it is "partial 16S ribosomal RNA". It matches the Rfam family "Bacterial small subunit ribosomal RNA", at positions 524 to 776 of the family's 1533-position model. The record is from RNAcentral.
UACGUAGGUGGCAAGCGUUGUCCGGAUUUAUUGGGCGUAAAGAGCUCGUAGGCGGCUUGUUGCGUCGACUGUGAAAACCCACGGCUCAACCGUGUGGUCUGCAGUCGAUACGGGCAGGCUAGAGUUCGGUAGGGGAGACUGGAAUUCCUGGUGUAGCGGUGAAAUGCGCAGAUAUCAGGAGGAACACCGGUGGCGAAGGCGGCAUUCUGGACCGAUAUUGACGCUGAGGAGCGAAAGCCAGGGGAGCAAACGGG